This is a long non-coding RNA of Mastomys coucha (southern multimammate mouse), 750 nucleotides long. RefSeq lists it as uncharacterized. The transcript has 2 exons. NCBI's taxonomy places the organism in Eukaryota, Metazoa, Chordata, Mammalia, Rodentia, Muridae. The record is from RefSeq and is a predicted model, not a curated record.
AGGAUUUGUGUGAGGUAGAGUGUAAGCUGCAGACAGGAGACUAACACUACCCAGCCCAGACAUAGAAAGGACGCCUCAAAGCAUUCCUGGUGACCUGAAUGGUAUUUGUGAGAAGCAGUGUUAUACUUCAAAUUCUACUACAAAAGCUAAUGAGCCACCUAUCAUGAGACCAGACAACAUAGCCCCUGACACUGUAGCUCCUGAGUUCAUAGCCCCACCCAGAAACGAAGACUUAAAAGCCCACAAUGUACUGCUGCGCAUGCCUGUGCCCGUGCGCGGUAGUCAGAGGAGGAUGUCGGGUGUACCUCACUGAACCUGGAGUUAGGCUGGCAUCCAGCAAGCCCCGGUGAUCGUCCUGUCUCCAUCUUCCACAACAACACUUAGAGGCAGAGACUGAUACCAAGCUCUAUCAGGGAAGGGCAGUGCCUUUUUCAGUAAAGGAGAGCUCAGUGCUCACAUGCCUGGAUCUAAACAACUCUUUCCAGCCCUUUGGGAGCGAUGGACACUAUUCAGCAGGCACCUGUAGAAGACAUGCUAUAGGUUACAGGCCUAUGUCACAGGCAUGUUGCAAAGUUUAUGCCAGUCAGACAUGACCACACCUGGACUUUGGACCUACAGCACUAAGUUGUCUCAGAAACAAGAGCUGCUGUUCCCUGGUGCUGUGAGCAGGUCUGAAAGAGCAGCAUGGAGGCCCCAGUGCUGCUAAAUUCUUGAUAGAGUGCCAUCAAAAUAAAGAGCUACUUAAUGCAA